Molecule: ribosomal RNA, 2548 nt
Filed under: human metagenome
Description: bacterial LSU rRNA
Rfam family: Bacterial large subunit ribosomal RNA
Source: RNAcentral
UUAAGGAAGAAAGAGCAUAAGGUGGAUGCCUUGGUGAUUAGAGCCGAAGAAGGACGUGGCAAGCUGCGAAAAGCUAUGGUAAGGAGCAAACAUCCGAAAUAGCCAUAGAUAUCCGAAUGAGGAAACUCAGUUAGUAGAGAUACUAGCUAUCCAUUACUGAAAACAUAGGUAAUAGGAGGGGAACCCGGAGAACUGAAACAUCUAAGUACCCGGAGGAAAAGAAAGAAACAUCGAUUCCCAAAGUAGCGGCGAGCGAAAUGGGAGGAGGCCAAACCAGGAAAGGAAACUUUACUGGGGUAAGGGAAGACGACAAAUGAUUGAGGUAUCGUAGAAGAACUGUUUGGGAAAGCAGGCCAGAGACGGUAAAAGCCCGGUAUUUAAAACGAGAAGACACAUAGUCUUACCCAGAGUAUCGUAGGACACGAGGAACCCUGCGAGAAGAAAGGGGGACCACCCCCAAAGCCUAAAUACUACUAAUCAACCGAUAGAGAAUAGUACCGUGAGGGAAAGGUGAAAAGAACCCCGGGAGGGGAGUGAAAAAGAACCUGAAACCAUAUGCUUACAAGCUGAUGGAGCUCUUAGGAGUGACAUCGUACUUUUUGUAGAACGGGCCAACGAGUUAUGCUGUAAAGCAAGGUUAAGAAAUUAAGUUUCAAAGCCAAAGCGAAAGCGAGUCUAAAAAGGGCGAGAAGUUAUGCAGCAUAGACCCGAAACCAGGCGACCUACCCAUGAGCAGGUUGAAGUUUCAGUAACAUGAAAUGGAGGACCGAACCCACGAACGUUGAAAAGUUCGGGGAUGACUUGUGGGUAGAGGUGAAAUUCCAAUCGAGCUUGGAGAUAGCUGGUUCUCUUCGAAAUAGCUUUAGGGCUAGCGUCUUAGUUAAGUAUGUUGGGGGUAGAGCACUGAAUGUUCUAGGGGCCGUAUAGGUUACCGAAAACUAUCAAACUUCGAAUACUAGCAUAUAUAUAAGGCAGUCAGACUACGAGUGAUAAGAUCCGUGGUCGAAAGGGAAAAAGCCCAGACCAACAGCUAAGGUCCCAAAAUGUAUGUUAAGUGGAAAAGGAUGUGAAAUUGCACAGACAACCAGGAUGUUGGCUUAGAAGCAGCCAUACAUUAAAAGAGUGCGUAAUAGCUCACUGGUCGAGUGGUUUUGCGCCGAAAAUUACCGGGGCUCAAACAUACUACCGAAGCUUUGGACUCACGUAGUGAGUGGUAGAAGAGCAUCGUAUAAUAGGAAGAAGGGGAGUUGAAAAGCGACCUGGACGAAAUACGAGAGAGAAUGUUGGCAUGAGUAGCGAGAGGAAGGUGAGAAUCCUUCCGGCCGAAAACCCAAGGAUUUCUGAGGAAGGUUCGUCCGCUCAGAGUAAGUCGGGACCUAAGGAAAGGCAGAAAUGCGUAUCUGAUGGACAACAGGUAAAGAUUCCUGUACCUACGCUUAUCGACAAAGAGGAGAAGGAAUGACGCAGGAGGAUAGGAUGAGCACGCGAAUGGAAAGGCGUGUCCAAGCAGUAAGUUAGGUAAUAUAGGCAAAUCCGUAUUACUGAAGAUAUGAGCUGUGAAGGGGAGAGAAAAUAGUAUCGAAGCAUCUGAUUUCACACUGACAGGAAAAGUUUCUAUCCAGAUAAGAGUAGCCCGUACCGUAAACCGACACAGGUGGGAGAGGUGAGAAACCUAAGGCCAGCGAGAGAACUGUUGUUAAGGAACUCGGCAAAAUGACCCCGUAACUUAGGGAUAAGGGGUGCCUACGAGAGUAGGCUUCAAGAAAAAGGCCCAAGCGACUGUUUACCAAAAACAUAGGUAUCUGCGAAACCGCAAGGUGAAGUAUAGGUGCUGACGCCUGCCCGGUGCUGGAAGGUUAAGAGGAGAUGUCAGGCAACGAAGCAUUGAAUUUAAGCCCCAGUAAACGGCGGCCGUAACUAUAACGGUCCUAAGGUAGCGAAAUUCCUUGUCGGGUAAGUUCCGACCCGCACGAAAGGCGUAACGAUUUGGGCACUGUCUCAACAACAGACUCGGUGAAAUUGUAAUACCGGUGAAGAUGCCGGAAACCUGCGACAGGACGGAAAGACCCCAUGGAGCUUUACUGUAGCUUAGUAUUGAAUUUAUGUAAUUAAUGUACAGAAUAGGUGGGAGGCUAAGAGACUAGGUCGUCAGAUUUAGAGGAGCCGCCUUUGGGAUACCACCCUUUGAUUAUGUGAGUUCUAACCAGAAUCUUUGAAGCAAGGUAUGGGACAGUGCUUGGCAGACAGUUUGACUGGGGCGGUCGCCUCCUAAAGAGUAACGGAGGCGUCCAAAGGUUCCCUCAGUACGGUCGGAAAUCGUACGAAGAGUGCAAAGGCAAAAGGGAGCUUGAUUGCGAGAGCUACAACUCGAGCAAAGACGAAAGUCGGGCUUAGUGAUCCGGUGGUAGAAAGUGGAAUUGCCAUCGCUCAACGGAUAAAAGCUACCCUGGGGAUAACAGGCUGAUCUCCCCCAAGAGUUCACAUCGACGGGGAGGUUUGGCACCUCGAUGUCGGCUCAUCGCAUCCUGGGGCUGAAGUCGGUCCCAAG